Small nuclear RNA from Neltuma alba, 99 nucleotides. NCBI's taxonomy places the organism in Eukaryota, Viridiplantae, Streptophyta, Magnoliopsida, Fabales, Fabaceae. The record is from RefSeq and is a predicted model, not a curated record.
GUCCUCGGAGACGUCCCAUAAAAUUGGAAUGAUACAGAGAAGAUUAGCAUGGUCCAAAAAUGAUACGCACAAAUAGAGAGAAUAAAGCACAAGGUUUUU